This 844-nucleotide ribosomal RNA is filed under the name Microcella sp. RNAcentral's name for it is "bacterial SSU rRNA". It matches the Rfam family "Bacterial small subunit ribosomal RNA", at positions 56 to 905 of the family's 1533-position model. Lineage: Bacteria; Bacillati; Actinomycetota; Actinomycetes; Micrococcales; Microbacteriaceae. The record is from RNAcentral.
GGACUAGUCGAACGGUGAAGGUGGGAGCUUGCUUCUGCUGGAUCAGUGGCGAACGGGUGAGUAACACGUGAGUAACCUGCCCUUGACUCUGGGAUAAGCGUUGGAAACGACGUCUAAUACCGGAUACGCGCUUCAGCCGCAUGGCUAGGAGUGGGAAAGAUUUUUUGGUCAAGGAUGGACUCGCGGCCUAUCAGCUUGUUGGUGAGGUAAUGGCUCACCAAGGCGACGACGGGUAGCCGGCCUGAGAGGGUGACCGGCCACACUGGGACUGAGACACGGCCCAGACUCCUACGGGAGGCAGCAGUGGGGAAUAUUGCACAAUGGGCGCAAGCCUGAUGCAGCAACGCCGCGUGAGGGACGACGGCCUUCGGGUUGUAAACCUCUUUUAGCAGGGAAGAAGCGCAAGUGACGGUACCUGCAGAAAAAGCACCGGCUAACUACGUGCCAGCAGCCGCGGUAAUACGUAGGGUGCAAGCGUUGUCCGGAAUUAUUGGGCGUAAAGAGCUCGUAGGCGGUUUGUCGCGUCUGCUGUGAAAACGCGAGGCUCAACCUCGCGCCUGCAGUGGGUACGGGCAGACUAGAGUGCGGUAGGGGAGAUUGGAAUUCCUGGUGUAGCGGUGGAAUGCGCAGAUAUCAGGAGGAACACCGAUGGCGAAGGCAGAUCUCUGGGCCGUAACUGACGCUGAGGAGCGAAAGCGUGGGGAGCGAACAGGAUUAGAUACCCUGGUAGUCCACGCCGUAAACGUUGGGAACUAGAUGUAGGGGCCAUUCCACGGUUUCUGUGUCGCAGCUAACGCAUUAAGUUCCCCGCCUGGGGAGUACGGUCGCAAGACUAAAACUCAAA